Molecule: ribosomal RNA, 238 nt
Filed under: uncultured bacterium
Lineage: Bacteria
Description: partial 16S ribosomal RNA
Rfam family: Bacterial small subunit ribosomal RNA
Source: RNAcentral
CGGCGGACGGGUGAGUAACGCGUGGGUAACCUGCCUCAUACAGGGGAGUAACAGUUAGAAAUGACUGCUAAUACCGCAUAAGACCACAGCACCGCAUGGUGCGGGGGUAAAAACUCCGGUGGUAUGAGAUGGACCCGCGUCUGAUUAGCUAGUUGGUAAGGUAACGGCUUACCAAGGCGACGAUCAGUAGCCGACCUGAGAGGGUGACCGGCCACAUUGGGACUGAGACACGGCCCAA